This 711-nucleotide ribosomal RNA is filed under the name Pseudomonas aeruginosa. Its description in RNAcentral is "bacterial SSU rRNA". It matches the Rfam family "Bacterial small subunit ribosomal RNA", at positions 54 to 760 of the family's 1533-position model. Lineage: Bacteria; Pseudomonadati; Pseudomonadota; Gammaproteobacteria; Pseudomonadales; Pseudomonadaceae. The record is from RNAcentral.
CAUGCAAGUCGAGCGGAUGAAGGGAGCUUGCUCCUGGAUUCAGCGGCGGACGGGUGAGUAAUGCCUAGGAAUCUGCCUGGUAGUGGGGGAUAACGUCCGGAAACGGGCGCUAAUACCGCAUACGUCCUGAGGGAGAAAGUGGGGGAUCUUCGGACCUCACGCUAUCAGAUGAGCCUAGGUCGGAUUAGCUAGUUGGUGGGGUAAAGGCCUACCAAGGCGACGAUCCGUAACUGGUCUGAGAGGAUGAUCAGUCACACUGGAACUGAGACACGGUCCAGACUCCUACGGGAGGCAGCAGUGGGGAAUAUUGGACAAUGGGCGAAAGCCUGAUCCAGCCAUGCCGCGUGUGUGAAGAAGGUCUUCGGAUUGUAAAGCACUUUAAGUUGGGAGGAAGGGCAGUAAGUUAAUACCUUGCUGUUUUGACGUUACCAACAGAAUAAGCACCGGCUAACUUCGUGCCAGCAGCCGCGGUAAUACGAAGGGUGCAAGCGUUAAUCGGAAUUACUGGGCGUAAAGCGCGCGUAGGUGGUUCAGCAAGUUGGAUGUGAAAUCCCCGGGCUCAACCUGGGAACUGCAUCCAAAACUACUGAGCUAGAGUACGGUAGAGGGUGGUGGAAUUUCCUGUGUAGCGGUGAAAUGCGUAGAUAUAGGAAGGAACACCAGUGGCGAAGGCGACCACCUGGACUGAUACUGACACUGAGGUGCGAAAGC